AGAGUUUGAUCCUGGCUCAGGAUGAACGCUGGCGGUCUGCUUAACACAUGCAAGUCGAACGGAGNNGAAAUACUUAGUGGCGGACGGGUGAGUAACGCGUGAGAAUCUGCCUUCAGGACGGAGACAACAGUUGGAAACGACUGCUAAGCCCCGAUGAACCGAAAGGGAAAAUAUUUAUAGCCUGAAGAUGAGCUCGCGUCCGAUUAGCUAGUUGGCGGAGUAAAAGCCCACCAAGGCGACGAUCGGUAGCUGGUCUGAGAGGACGAUCAGCCACACUGGGACUGAGACACGGCCCAGACUCCUACGGGAGGCAGCAGUGGGGAAUUUUCCGCAAUGGGCGAAAGCCUGACGGAGCAAUACCGCGUGAGGGAGGAAGGCUCUUGGGUCGUAAACCUCUUUUCUCAGGGAAGAACACAAUGACGGUACCUGAGGAAUAAGCAUCGGCUAACUCCGUGCCAGCAGCCGCGGUAAUACGGAGGAUGCAAGCGUUAUCCGGAAUGAUUGGGCGUAAAGCGUCCGCAGGUGGCGAUGUAAGUCUGCUGUUAAAGAGUGAGGCUCAACCUCAUAAGAGCAGUGGAAACUACAUAGCUAGAGUACGUUCGGGGCAGAGGGAAAUCCUGGUGUAGCGGUGAAAUGCGUAGAGAUCAGGAAGAACACCAGUGGCGAAGGNNNCUCUGCUAGGCCGUAACUGACACUGAGGGACGAAAGCUAGGGGAGCGAAUGGGAUUAGAUACCCUAGUAGUCC
This 745-nucleotide ribosomal RNA is filed under the name uncultured bacterium. RNAcentral describes it as "bacterial SSU rRNA". It matches the Rfam family "Bacterial small subunit ribosomal RNA", at positions 8 to 796 of the family's 1533-position model. The record is from RNAcentral.